This 253-nucleotide ribosomal RNA is filed under the name uncultured bacterium. Its description in RNAcentral is "partial 16S ribosomal RNA". It matches the Rfam family "Bacterial small subunit ribosomal RNA", at positions 524 to 776 of the family's 1533-position model. The record is from RNAcentral.
UACGUAGGGUGCGAGCGUUAAUCGGAAUUACUGGGCGUAAAGCGUGCGCAGGCGGUUUUGUAAGUCAGAUGUGAAAUCCCCGGGCUUAACCUGGGAAUGGCAUUUGGGACUGCAAGGCUGGAGUGUGGCAGAGGAGACUGGAAUUCCUGGUGUAGCAGUGAAAUGCGUAGAUAUCAGGAGGAAUACCGAUGGCGAAGGCAGGUCUCUGGGCUGAAACUGACGCUCAUGCACGAAAGCGUGGGGAGCAAACAGG